GGGAGGACAGUUUAUACCUUCAGUUCACUGGAGCUACUUGAUUGCAGACUAACUGAAUGGUCUCUGGAAAGAUUAGGCAAGGCUGCAGGCAUCAGCUACCUCACCACUCUCUGCCUGGACUACACAUGGGAGGUCUACAUCAAUGGCAAU
Molecule: long non-coding RNA, 150 nt
Organism: Cyprinus carpio (common carp)
Lineage: Eukaryota; Metazoa; Chordata; Actinopteri; Cypriniformes; Cyprinidae
Source: Ensembl